CUUUGUGAAACGACAUAACAGUGAUCUGAAUAACAUUGUCUCCAGCUGAAACAGUUUUCCAAACAUACAAAUUCUAGCCGCAUGUACAGUUUUCAUAUUUCUGUCAUACUGCCAUGUCCUUUGUACCGGAGCUAGAACUAUAUUUGUAAGGCAAAUAUGGAUGGAAAGGCGAAAGCAUAGAUACAAAUACUGUGUCAAUUUAAACAGAUGAGCCAGCAUUACACUCCCCAUGCAAAUACGCUGGGCAAGUGCAGCAGAGCGCUUGGCCAUCCUGUAUCUCUGCUCUUUGUGCAAGAGCCCCAGGAAUCAUCACAUCCACACACAACCCCAUAAAGAGCACUUCUCCAGCUUUGCUGUUCCCACAAACUUGUAGGAAACUUCAUUUUGCUGAACUGAAUGUAUGGAUUAUGUUAAACUCUUUUUUGGAGCAACAGGCCUGCAGCAAUCCAAGAAACAUCUGAGAAGGGAGGUCAGUACUUCAUCGCCACAAUAUUCGAAAAAGCAAGUGUAGUAAUGGAAGCUACAUUGGAAAACAUAUCACAUGAUGUAUUUAUAAGCCACUCAUCUAAAUACAACCUAUGUUUCUAAUUUUGUUCAAAGGAAUAACUCGGUUUCACAACCUCCACUUUUGCAUUGAUACGUCACUGGAAAUGGGAUUCAUGAUGAGGAUUUAUACAAUAACGGCUUUUUGUGCCUUGGGAUUACUUUUUAACUUGGUCAGUGUGACAUUUCCUUCUAUAAAUAACUUCAGUAAUUUUUUAAAAAAAGAUGAGCUCCACAAUGAAAUGAAAAUACAGAAGUGUGGAAAAUGCUAACUGGUAUAUGUUAAUUCACAUGCAUUGCAUAUAAUGCAUGAUCUGUUCAAAUCUCCUUCAAUGUUUAAACACUGAAACAUAACAAAUUGUUUUCUUAUUGGUUUGUAUAGGAGACAUGUGCAGGGGGUGAGUUUAUUUUUCAUUUUUAAUCAGCUUACACUUUUAUAACUUACACUGCAUUCAUUUACACUGCUGAAACACUAAGGUAAAGUAUCUUACUAAAGGGUACUAUAGCGGGGGUCCCUUUCGACCAAACUGGCUGCCUUCGGGUUGCAUGUCCAACUUUGUUCUAGUAAUGGAAAAUAGAUAUGUUUAUCUGGAAUUAUUAAGGAUGCUGUGAACUCUCAGGUGCAUGUUUUUUCCGAGUAACUUGGUUUUGAGUCUACAUGUUGUUUUCUGGUCUGAAUUUACAACCAAAAAAGCAAGUCAGGAGUCUGUGCAUUUUGGGUGCUCAAUUAACAUAUGCAUAAAAAAUUUUGCAUUGUUUUGAUAAUGAGAAGUAUAUGGCGUUCUGUGUGAUGUAACCCAUGGAAUCUUUUUUACUCCAGUGAUAGCACUAAAAUGUGCGGUUUAACUAUGCAAACCAGCAUAUUCUCUGUGUAGUUCGAAUGGUUUUUGGAUUACUUACACAGCCAUAAUUUAUCACACAGGGACCUAAAAUCUGCAAAAAACCUAGUAAAUGUGAUAUUCUGUUGGCCUCAUACUGUACUUCAUAUGGUUAACUUUACUGUGCACCGUAUUGGAUUGAUUCUUAGGCUUCUCAGUGUGCUGCAAUUAUAUAUAUAUAUAUAUAUAUUUUUUUUUUUUUGGGUUAUUGGUAAGUACCUCUCUAUAUCGAGAGACUGCCUCCGGAAUGUUCUGACCUCCCCCUGUGUCCAUAGGGCUCUUUGUUACAUUAAUUUACUAAUUAAUUUUAAUGUUAAUUAAAAUUCAGUAUAUUGUAAAGAUUAAGCAUUACUUAACUGAAACAAAACACAAAAAGCCUGAAUUCCAAUCAACC
Molecule: long non-coding RNA, 1815 nt
Organism: Scleropages formosus (Asian bonytongue)
Lineage: Eukaryota; Metazoa; Chordata; Actinopteri; Osteoglossiformes; Osteoglossidae
Source: Ensembl